CCUACGGGGGGCUGCAGUGGGGAAUAUUGGACAAUGGGGGGAACCCUGAUCCAGCCAUGCCGCGUGUGUGUAGAAGGCCCUCGGGUUGUAAAGCACUUUCAGUGAGGAAGAACGCCUGGUGGUUAAUACCCAUCAGGAAAGACAUCACUCACAGAAGAAGCACCGGCUAACUCCGUGCCAGCAGCCGCGGUAAUACGGAGGGUGCGAGCGUUAAUCGGAAUUACUGGGCGUAAAGCGCGCGUAGGUGGCUUGAUAAGCCGGUUGUGAAAGCCCCGGGCUCAACCUGGGAACGGCAUCCGGAACUGUCAAGCUAGAGUGCAGGAGAGGAAGGUAGAAUUCCCGGUGUAGCGGUGAAAUGCGUAGAGAUCGGGAGGAAUACCAGUGGCGAAGGCGGCCUUCUGGACUGACACUGACACUGAGGUGCGAAAGCGUGGGUAGCAAACAGGAUUAGAUACCCCAGUAGUC
This 465-nucleotide ribosomal RNA is filed under the name Vreelandella stevensii. RNAcentral describes it as "partial 16S ribosomal RNA". It matches the Rfam family "Bacterial small subunit ribosomal RNA", at positions 338 to 795 of the family's 1533-position model. Lineage: Bacteria; Pseudomonadati; Pseudomonadota; Gammaproteobacteria; Oceanospirillales; Halomonadaceae. The record is from RNAcentral.